This 460-nucleotide ribosomal RNA is filed under the name uncultured bacterium. Its description in RNAcentral is "partial 16S ribosomal RNA". It matches the Rfam family "Bacterial small subunit ribosomal RNA", at positions 338 to 795 of the family's 1533-position model. The record is from RNAcentral.
CCUACGGGUGGCAGCAGUGAGGCAUAUUGGUCAAUGGACGAGAGUCUGAUCCAGCCCAGUAGCGUGAAGGAUGACUGCCCUCUGGGUUGUAAACUUCUUUUAUAUGGGAAUAAAAUGUUCCACGUGUGGGCUUUUGUAUGUACCAUAUGAAUAAGGAUCGGCUAACUCCGUGCCAGCAGCCGAGGUAAUAAGGCGGAGCCGAGCGUUAUCAGGAUUUAUUGGGUUUAAAGGGAGCGUAGGUGGAUUGUUAAGUCAGUUGUGAAAGUUUGCGGCUCAACCGUAAAAUUGCAGUUGAAACGGGCAGUCUUGAGUACAGUAGAGGUGGGCGGAAUUCGUGGUGUAGCGGUGAAAUGCUUAGAUAUCACGAAGAACUCCGAUUGCGAAGGCAGCUCACUGGACUGCAACUGACACUGAGGCUCGAAAGUGUGGGUAUCAAACAGGAUUAGAUACCCCAGUAGUC